Molecule: ribosomal RNA, 1490 nt
Filed under: metagenome
Description: bacterial LSU rRNA
Rfam family: Bacterial large subunit ribosomal RNA
Source: RNAcentral
UACAGUGCGAUGUGGGGACGGAGAAGGUUAGGUCUACCAGGCGUUGGUUGUCCUGGGGAAAGGCGGUAGGCAUGAUUCUUAGGCAAAUCCGGGAAUCUCUAUGCCGAGCACCGAGACGAGUCCUAUGAGGACGAAGUGACUGACACCACGCUUCCAGGAAAAGCCACUAAGCUUCAGCUGUAGAAAAACCGUACCGCAAACCGACACAGGUAGGCAGGGUGAGAAUCCCAAGGCGCUUGAGAGAACUCGGGUGAAGGAACUAGGCAAAAUGGCACCGUAACUUCGGGAGAAGGUGCGCCCCUUGGUGUGGUCACGCGCGUGACUGAGCAUCGAGGGGUCGCAGUAACCUGGCCGCUGCGACUGUUUAUCAAAAACACAGCACCCUGCAAACACGAAAGUGGACGUAUAGGGUGUGACGCCUGCCCGGUGCUGGAAGGUUAAUUGAUGGGGUCAGCCGCAAGGCGAAGCUCUUGAUCGAAGCCCCAGUAAACGGCGGCCGUAACUAUAACGGUCCUAAGGUAGCGAAAUUCCUUGUCGGGUAAGUUCCGACCUGCACGAAUGGCGUAACGACAGCGGCGCUGUCUCCACCCGAGACUCAGUGAAAUUGAAAUCGCUGUGAAGAUGCAGCGUUCCCGCGGCAAGGCGGAAAGACCCCGUGAACCUUUACUAUAGCUUUACACUGAACGUUGAGUUCUUCUGUGUAGGAUAGGUGGGAGGCUAUGAAACCAGGACGCUAGUUCUGGUGGAGCCAUCCUUGAAAUACCACCCUGAAGUGCUUGACGUUCUAACCUAGGUCCGUAAUCCGGAUCGGGGACCGUGUAUGGUGGGUAGUUUGACUGGGGCGGUCUCCUCCCAGAGAGUAACGGAGGAGCACGAAGGUACGCUCAGCGCGGUCGGACAUCGCGCACUGUGUGCAAAGGCAUAAGCGUGCUUGACUGCGAGAUCGACGGAUCAAGCAGGUACGAAAGUAGGUCUUAGUGAUCCGGUGGUUCUGUAUGGAAGGGCCAUCGCUCAACGGAUAAAAGGUACUCCGGGGAUAACAGGCUGAUACCGCCCAAGAGUUCAUAUCGACGGCGGUGUUUGGCACCUCGAUGUCGGCUCAUCACAUCCUGGGGCUGUAGCCGGUCCCAAGGGUAUGGCUGUUCGCCAUUUAAAGUGGUACGCGAGCUGGGUUCAGAACGUCGUGAGACAGUUCGGUCCCUAUCUGUCGUGGGCGUUGGAGAUUUGAGGGGGGCUGCUCCUAGUACGAGAGGACCGGAGUGGACGUUCCGCUGGUGUUCGGGUUGUCAUGCCCAUGGCAUUGCCCGGUAGCUACGAACGGAAGUGAUAACCGCUGAAAGCAUCUAAGCGGGAAGCACGCCCCAAGAUGAGAUCUCCCGAGAGCUUGACUCUCCUAAAGGCACCAUCAAGACUAGGUGGUUGAUAGGCACGGUGUGGAAGUGCAGCAAUGCAUUGAGCUUACGUGUACUAAUGAGCCGUGAGGCUUGACC